Molecule: ribosomal RNA, 1026 nt
Filed under: Triticum aestivum (bread wheat)
Lineage: Eukaryota; Viridiplantae; Streptophyta; Magnoliopsida; Poales; Poaceae
Description: partial small subunit ribosomal RNA
Source: RNAcentral
AUGGCCGCGUCCCAGAGCUCAGCAACGAGGACGGCCUCUACCUGCGCCCCGGAGACUGCGCAUGGGACGCACCUAUUCAAGAUCCAAGGGUACAGCCUGUACAGAGGCUUCGGCGUCGGCAAGGUCAUCCAGUCCGCUACCUUUGCUGUCGGCGGCUACGACUGGUGCGUCCACUUGUACCCUGACGGUGAAACGGAAGACCAUAAAGAUUGGUUGGCUGUCGACCUCCUGCUCCAGACUGAUAACACUGAGGUGAGGGCGCUCUUCCAUAUUUGGCCGGUCGACCAGGCCACACAGCCUCCCGCGAAGUGUGAACUUGGAAGGUAUAUUAUGGACGACAUUCUUCUCAUCGAGUGCAGUCUUACAGUGAUCAAGUUCAAGGAGGCACAGGUGGUGGAUGCCAAGAUUAACGCCGAGGUCCAAGUGCCACCGUCCGAUGUGGUGGAUAACCUCGGUACAUUGCUGGAGGCUACAGAGGGAGCAGAUGUGUCUUUCAAGGUCAAAGUCAAACAUGAGGUUUUCCCAGCUCAUAAGAUCAUCCUCGCAAUGCGGUCGCCGGUCUUUAGAGUGGAGUUCUACGGGCCACUCAAAGACGAACAAAGGCACAGCAUAACCAUUGAAGAUAUGCAACCCACAACUUUCAGAGGACUGCUUCACUUCAUUUACUAAGAUACGUUGCCUCUGUUGGAUGACCUCAACUCUGAUGAGUAUCAAGAAUUGCUUAGGCAUUUACUUGUUGCUGCAGAUAUGUAUGGUAUGGAAAGGAUGAAGUUGAUGUGUGAGAGAAAACUUUGCGAGGUUCUUUCUACUGGGACUGUGGCAACCACCUUAGCUCUAGCUGACCAGCAUCAUUGCAGCAAGCUCAAAGAUGCUUGCAUUGAAUAUAUCAUCUCGUCGAACAGAAAGGUUGAUGUGAUGGCAAGUAAAGGGUAUGAGCACCUGAAAAGGACUUGUCCUACAAUCAUUGUUGAUAUAUGGGAGAAAGCAGCUAACACCACAAAUUUUAGUAUGCUGACUGUGGAUUAA